ACUCAAAGGAAUUGACGGGGGCCCGCACAAGCAGCGGAGCAUGUGGUUUAAUUCGACGAAACGCGAAGAACCUUACCUGGGCUUGACAUGUUUCUGACAGGUGUGGAAACACACCCUCCCUUCGGGGCAGAUUCACAGGUGGUGCAUGGCUGUCGUCAGCUCGUGUCGUGAGAUGUUGGGUUAAGUCCCGCAACGAGCGCAACCCCCGUCGCAUGUUGCCAGCAUUUAGUUGGGGACUCAUGCGAGACUGCCGGUGACAAACCGGAGGAAGGUGGGGAUGACGUCAAGUCAUCAUGCCCCUUAUGUCCAGGGCUACACACGUGCUACAUUGGCCGGUACAAAGGGCUGCGAUACCGCGAGGUGGAGCGAAUCCCAUAAAGCCGGUCUUGGUUCGGAUUGGAGGCUGAAACUCGCCUCCAUGAAGGUGGAGUUGCUAGUAAUCAUGGAUCAGCAACGCCAUGGUGAAUACGUUCCCGGGCCUUGUACACACCGCCCGU
This 497-nucleotide ribosomal RNA is filed under the name uncultured bacterium. RNAcentral's name for it is "partial 16S ribosomal RNA". It matches the Rfam family "Bacterial small subunit ribosomal RNA", at positions 899 to 1397 of the family's 1533-position model. The record is from RNAcentral.